GAUGAAGAACGCAGCGAAAUGCGAUAAGUAAUGUGAAUUGCAGAAUUCCGUGAAUCAUCGAAUCUUUGAACGCAUAUUGCGCCCUCUGGUAUUCCGGGGGGCAUGCCUGUCCGAGCGUCAUUACAACCCCUCAAGCUCAGCUUGGUGUUGGGGCCUGCUGCACUGGCAGCCCUUAAAAUCAGUGGCGGCGCCAUCUGGCUCUAAGCGUAGUAAUUCUUCUCGCUAUGGAGUCCUGGUGGAUGCUUGCCAUCAACCCCCAAUUUUUCUAUGGUUGACCUCGGAUCAGGUAGGGAUACCCGCUGAACUUAAGCAUAUCAAUAAGCGGAGGA
Molecule: unclassified non-coding RNA, 329 nt
Filed under: soil metagenome
Description: partial contains 5.8S ribosomal RNA, internal transcribed spacer 2, and large subunit ribosomal RNA
Rfam family: 5.8S ribosomal RNA (bases 1-120)
Source: RNAcentral